AGUACAUGCAAAUAAUCUACAAGGCACUGUUGGAAGUUUAUGAAAAUGGAACAAUUAUUGGUAGAUCAAGAGAGGCAAUACCGAGUCGAGUACGCUAGAAAAGCGAUGAUACGCCUUGCUCAAGCUUACCUUUUGGAGGCGAAAUGGACACAUCUAAACUAUAAACCAACGUUCGAGGAGUUAGAGAUAAUGCAUUGCCGACCUCCGGCUAUGCCAUGCUUGCCAUCACGGCGUUCGUCGGGAUGGGCGAUGUUAUAACCCCCGGACCUUCAAAUGGGCAGCCAAUGACCCUAAGAUCAUCAAAGCCUCCACCAUUAUUUGCAGGUUCAUGGACGACAUUGCUGAACACAGUCAACCACAGGAGAGAAGACGAUUGCUCGGCCAUCGAGUGUUACAUGGAACAGUACGGCGUGACGGCGCAAGAAGCAUACGAUGAAUU
Molecule: long non-coding RNA, 439 nt
Organism: Hibiscus syriacus
Lineage: Eukaryota; Viridiplantae; Streptophyta; Magnoliopsida; Malvales; Malvaceae
Exons: 3
Source: RefSeq, a predicted model, not a curated record